Sapajus apella (tufted capuchin) is the source of this 290-nucleotide long non-coding RNA. RefSeq lists it as uncharacterized. The record is from RefSeq and is a predicted model, not a curated record. The transcript is spliced from 2 exons. NCBI's taxonomy places the organism in Eukaryota, Metazoa, Chordata, Mammalia, Primates, Cebidae.
GUGAGCCAAAAUCGCACCAUUGCACUCAAGCCUGGGCAACAAGAGGGAAACUCCGUCUAAAAAAAAAAAAAAAAAAGAGUAAAGAAAAGUUUAUUGGAUAAGUAGCAUUUUCAAAUCACACAUUAAAAGUUGGUAAUUAAUGAAGGAGCUACUGGGUAGAGAACAGAAGGGAAGAGGUAGUGCCACUUUAAAUUGUGAGGUUGGGGAUAAGUAGCAGCAACCUGGGUUGUCACCAGGUACCAUAAGAUAGGUGGGCUGAGGUGUAAGGAACAUGGAAAGCAGCAAAGAAG